Molecule: ribosomal RNA, 253 nt
Filed under: uncultured bacterium
Lineage: Bacteria
Description: partial 16S ribosomal RNA
Rfam family: Bacterial small subunit ribosomal RNA
Source: RNAcentral
UACAGAGGAGCCAAGCGUUGUCCGGAUUGACUGGGCGUAAAGCGCACGCAGGCGGUUGCGCGCGUGGGGUGUGGAAUCUGGCCGCUUAACGGCCAGGCGCCAUCCCAUACGGCGCGACUGGAGUGAUGCAGAGGUCGAUGGAAUUGCCGGUGUAGUGGUGAAAUGCGUAGAGAUCGGCAGGAACACCCAGGGGGAAACCAGUCGACUGGGCAUCUACUGACGCUGAGGUGCGAGAGCGUGGGGAGCGAACCGG